RNAcentral lists this ribosomal RNA (1090 nucleotides) under Salmonella enterica subsp. enterica. RNAcentral's name for it is "partial 23S ribosomal RNA". It matches the Rfam family "Bacterial large subunit ribosomal RNA", at positions 161 to 1190 of the family's 2925-position model. RNAcentral also lists the same sequence under 2 other names. The record is from RNAcentral. Lineage: Bacteria; Pseudomonadati; Pseudomonadota; Gammaproteobacteria; Enterobacterales; Enterobacteriaceae.
AAUCCAUAGGUUAAUGAGGCGAACCGGGGGAACUGAAACAUCUAAGUACCCCGAGGAAAAGAAAUCAACCGAGAUUCCCCCAGUAGCGGCGAGCGAACGGGGAGGAGCCCAGAGCCUGAAUCAGCAUGUGUGUUAGUGGAAGCGUCUGGAAAGGCGCGCGAUACAGGGUGACAGCCCCGUACACAAAAGCGCAUGUGCUGUGAGCUCGAUGAGUAGGGCGGGACACGUGGUAUCCUGUCUGAAUAUGGGGGGACCAUCCUCCAAGGCUAAAUACUCCUGACUGACCGAUAGUGAACCAGUACCGUGAGGGAAAGGCGAAAAGAACCCCGGCGAGGGGAGUGAAAAAGAACCUGAAACCGUGUACGUACAAGCAGUGGGAGCCCCACCACUAAGCCAGUGGUGAACUCCACAUCCGCAUCCUUUGCUGAGGAUACGGUUAACGGAGCGAAAGCGACGUUCAACCGCAAAACAAGCAGAGGGGGCUUAGUGGUGGGGUGACUGCGUACCUUUUGUAUAAUGGGUCAGCGACUUAUAUUCUGUAGCAAGGUUAACCGAAUAGGGGAGCCGGAGGGAAACCGAGUCUUAAUUGGGCGUUAAGUUGCAGGGUAUAGACCCGAAACCCGGUGAUCUAGCCAUGGGCAGGUUGAAGGUUGGGUAACACUAACUGGAGGACCGAACCGACUAAUGUUGAAAAAUUAGCGGAUGACCUGUGGCUGGGGGUGAAAGGCCAAUCAAACCGGGAGAUAGCUGGUUCUCCCCGAAAGCUAUUUAGGUAGCGCCUCGUGAAUUCAUCUCCGGGGGUAGAGCACUGUUUCGGCUAGGGGGCCAUCCCGGCUUACCAACCCGAUGCAAACUGCGAAUACCGGAGAAUGUUAUCACGGGAGACACACGGCGGGUGCUAACGUCCGUCGUGAAGAGGGAAACAACCCAGACCGCCAGCUAAGGUCCCAAAGUCAUGGUUAAGUGGGAAACGAUGUGGGAAGGCCCAGACAGCCAGGAUGUUGGCUUAGAAGCAGCCAUCAUUUAAAGAAAGCGUAAUAGCUCACUGGUCGAGUCGGCCUGCGCGGAAGAUGUAACGGGGCUAAACCAU